Molecule: unclassified non-coding RNA, 207 nt
Filed under: Hevea brasiliensis (rubber tree)
Lineage: Eukaryota; Viridiplantae; Streptophyta; Magnoliopsida; Malpighiales; Euphorbiaceae
Source: RNAcentral
GUACCUGGAGAUAGUCUCUUGCUUUAGCUUGAAGGACCUCGAGAUUUCUGCCGCGAGUCUUGUAUCUUUUAAAUACUAUGGACUAGUGAUAGGCAUUCCUUUUAANGCCCAAUCUGGUUGAGUCAUACUUUGGAGGACGAUUUGGUGAAUCAAUCAUUGAUAAUCUUUACCAAUUUUCUCGCUAUAUCUUGCGGCUACAGACACUGA